This 253-nucleotide ribosomal RNA is filed under the name uncultured bacterium. RNAcentral describes it as "partial 16S ribosomal RNA". It matches the Rfam family "Bacterial small subunit ribosomal RNA", at positions 524 to 776 of the family's 1533-position model. The record is from RNAcentral.
UACGGAGGGGGCUAGCGUUGUUCGGAAUUACUGGGCGUAAAGCGCGCGUAGGCGGGCAUUUAAGUCGGGGGUGAAAUCCCGGGGCUCAACCCCGGAACUGCCCUCGAUACUGGGUGCCUAGAGGUCGAGAGAGGUGAGUGGAAUGGCGAGUGUAGAGGUGAAAUUCGUAGAUAUUCGCCGGAACACCAGUGGCGAAGGCGGCUCACUGGCUCGAUACUGACGCUGAGGUGCGAAAGCGUGGGGAGCAAACAGG